UGGGGAAUAUUGGACAAUGGGCGCAAGCCUGAUCCAGCCAUGCCGCGUGAGUGAUGAAGGCCCUAGGGUUGUAAAGCUCUUUCACCGGUGAAGAUAAUGACGGUAACCGGAGAAGAAGCCCCGGCUAACUUCGUGCCAGCAGCCGCGGUAAUACGAAGGGGGCUAGCGUUGUUCGGAUUUACUGGGCGUAAAGCGCACGUAGGCGGACUAUUAAGUCAGGGGUGAAAUCCCGGGGCUCAACCCCGGAACUGCCUUUGAUACUGGUAGUCUUGAGUUCGGGGGAGGUGAGUGGAAUUCCGGGUGUAGAGGUGAAAUUCGUAGAUAUUCGGAGGAACACCAGUGGCGAAGGCGGCUCACUGGCUCGAUACUGACGCUGAGGUGCGAAAGCGUGGGGAGCAAACAGG
This 404-nucleotide ribosomal RNA is filed under the name Actinomycetes bacterium. RNAcentral describes it as "Actinobacteria bacterium partial 16S ribosomal RNA". It matches the Rfam family "Bacterial small subunit ribosomal RNA", at positions 355 to 776 of the family's 1533-position model. Lineage: Bacteria; Bacillati; Actinomycetota; Actinomycetes. The record is from RNAcentral.